UGAGUUAAAAAUUUAAAAAACGUAAACACUCUCUCUGCAUGCACCCUCUCACUUUACUGAAUUUCUUUCUCUUUAGCUCUCCAAAAUCUUAUCUUGCAGCUGCUCAUUUUCAUUCCAAUCCUCUUCUAUUUCUUUCAAAUAGAUUGUGCUUGAAGCAUGAUAAUCUUCCAUCGGUUCAGUCCAGUGGUUACUCCUCGUCUGGGUAGUAUGGGUAGUAUAAAGUUCCUGGAAGCAUAAAGGUGUGCUGGAAAUUCUCUUGAGUUCAAGUGCUGAAACCUAAGAGGGAGAGGAUGUUCUCCUGGAGCAAGCUUUGGAGCCAGAGGAUCCAGUCACUACCUCUUAAAACUCUUUCUAUUAGACUCCUUUCUAUAUUUUGAAAAACUUUGUAGCUUAUAUACAACACCUAGUUUAUAUUAUUACUCUUAGAUCUUUUCCAUUAUUUUAAGAGACUCCUUAUGUACUUAAAGUUUUUAAUUUUAUAACCCCUUCGA
This is a long non-coding RNA of Vigna radiata var. radiata (mung bean), 491 nucleotides long. RefSeq lists it as uncharacterized. The record is from RefSeq and is a predicted model, not a curated record. The transcript has 3 exons. NCBI's taxonomy places the organism in Eukaryota, Viridiplantae, Streptophyta, Magnoliopsida, Fabales, Fabaceae.